This 151-nucleotide unclassified non-coding RNA is filed under the name uncultured fungus. Its description in RNAcentral is "sequence contains ITS1". The record is from RNAcentral. Lineage: Eukaryota; Fungi.
AUAGUUAUUCAUGUAAAUUCAGACGCAAACCAUGUUUAUGCAUAAAAGCGACGCCAAGGCGCCGAAGCACGUUUUGUUUCCACAGGUUUUGAUGGUUUGAAGGUCAUUCGACCGUUCGAUAAUGAUCCCUCCGCAGGUUCACCUACGGAGA